CUAACCUGCCCUUCAGAGGGGGACAACAGUUGGAAACGACUGCUAAUACCGCAUACGAUCUAAUCUCGGCAUCGAGGAUAGAUGAAAGGUGGCCUCUACAUGUAAGCUAUCACUGAAGGAGGGGAUUGCGUCUGAUUAGCUAGUUGGUGAGGUAACGGCUCACCAAGGCAACGAUACAUAGGGGGACUGAGAGGUUAACCCCCCACAUUGGUACUGAGACACGGACCAA
This 229-nucleotide ribosomal RNA is filed under the name uncultured bacterium. RNAcentral's name for it is "partial 16S ribosomal RNA". It matches the Rfam family "Bacterial small subunit ribosomal RNA", at positions 121 to 334 of the family's 1533-position model. The record is from RNAcentral.